RNAcentral lists this ribosomal RNA (229 nucleotides) under uncultured bacterium. Its description in RNAcentral is "partial 16S ribosomal RNA". It matches the Rfam family "Bacterial small subunit ribosomal RNA", at positions 118 to 347 of the family's 1533-position model. The record is from RNAcentral.
UGAGCAAUCUGCCCUUCUCUUUGGAAUAAGCGUUGGAAACGACGUCUAAUGCCGAAUACGACCUCCUUUCGCAUGAUCGGGGGUGGAAAGCUCCGGCGGAGAAGGAUGAGCUCGCGGCCUAUCAGCUAGUUGGUGAGGUAACGGCUCACCAAGGCGACGACGGGUAGCUGGUCUGAGAGGAUGGCCAGCCACAGUUGGGACUGAGACACGGCCCAGACUCCGUAGGGAG